Molecule: RNA transcript, 3464 nt
Organism: Lagopus leucura (white-tailed ptarmigan)
Lineage: Eukaryota; Metazoa; Chordata; Aves; Galliformes; Phasianidae
Exons: 5
Source: RefSeq, a predicted model, not a curated record
UAAGAACAAAGGCUCCGCAACACAAGUCAGCCACAUUAAAAGAAAGCUGCAACCAAUUAUUAUGCUGCAGUGGCUUAGCCAAGGAAAUCUGGGGUUUUUCCACUCCUAUCAACUUAUUUAAGACAAUAUUCUCCCUUUCCCUCCACCCUACUUUUCACUUCCUGGAAUAUGCUGGGAACAUCCCACAAGAUCACAGUUCUACUUGCCAUCUACCUGGGUUCCCUAGCUCACGACAAGGGGUGUAUAAUCCAUCUUCAUGUUUAUCAGACACUGAAGAGUUUGUUUCUGAGACUUCUUGCCAAGAGCUCCCGGAAUUCCCUACUUUUAUUUGCAGACAAAUGCCAUAAAGCCAAACAAAACUGGAAAAGAAGGAAAACGCCGUCUCUCCUUCUUCGUUCCCCUUUACAAGACAGCAAAACGCUCCAGCAAGCAAACACCAGCUCACCAGCCCAGACUGCUGUCAAAGAGCAGUAUGCCAAAAGGGACAUAAGGUUGUUCCUUAGGAAGACGAGUUUAAGAGACUGCAAGGAUGAGAACCUCAGGCACAGCACAUUUAGGCAGAAGUUGUUUCAGAAAAGUGCACUGUUAAAGAAUUCCUGGAGAAGUACACACUCAUGUCUGAAUCAAGAAAAUCAUAAGCACAAACAGUGCAUCACUCCUGGUCAGCAGUUAACGCUUCAGGUACCGAUGAAGGAGUACACCUAGACUGUUGCUCUUGAUUACAACCACAAGACAUUCAAGAUCACAUGGCAGAAAUGAAAUCACCUUUCAACCUGAGUCAGAAUUCACUGCCAUUAGUGACUGACAAUAUGGGCUUUUAGCUCUUGGUACGCUCCUGAAUUGACAAUGCCACUACUAAAACCUUGUUUCAGAAAACAGAAUCACAGAAUUGUAGGGGUUGGAAGGGACCUCUAGAGAUCAUUGAUCCAACCCUUCUGUUAAAGCCGGUUGCCUACAGCAGGUCACACAGCUCAUCCACAAUCUGUUCUGGCAUCUGAAGAUGAUCAAGAAGAACAGGCAGCAAAAGAUCCACAAAGUGUUCAGCUGAGGCACUGUUCCCACUACUAACAACAUCCUGUAAUAAACAAAUUUUAUGUCAAUAUUUAGAACUACAGAAUAAGGAAGACAAGUCGAUUCUACUCCUUGUAUUCAAGCUUGUAUUCAAGUCUUCCCAGACUAUUUCUAUUUCAGGUUUAAGACUUAUGAUCAGUAUCAUACUGGAGAAUCAAGUUUAACAAAUAAUGCUGGAAAAGCAGAAACUCACUUCUACAAGUCCUUGAAAACAAGUACUGAAUAGUUUUGUUUCUACUUCAUGAACAGCCAACAUAAUUUUCAGAAAAGAUAUCUUUCUAAUACAGUCCUCAAAAUAUAUUUCUAAUGUGCUUAAAAACAGAUAAUUUUAAAAACAUUUCUGGUAUAUUUUUACGUCCCAUUUUUCAAGUAAAACACUAAUAAAUACUUAAAAAUUGAUCAAAGCAAAACUGUAACAGCUAAGUAGCACUUUAAGCUCAAUCAUUAGCAUUCAUACCUCAAAGACCUCUUUGAAUAGCUGCAGUGCUAGAACUGAACAGUCUUCAGAGCCUUCCAAUGGUUGGUUUGACAAAUGCACCAGUGCAACAGAUGGUUCAAAAGUCUUUGAGCGAGUCACAAAUCUGGUAUUUCCAGAGACUGGCAAGCCAGAUGGUUCCAGUAUUGCCUGCCGCAGGGUAUGACGCAGUUCUACCACAGAACAGAAGGCAAGCAGCAGUUCUAAGAUCUGUAUGAAGUGAAUGAAAGAGUUCAAAUACUUCUAAACCAGCUACUCAUAUAAAAAUUGCAACUCCCGUGGCACAAAUCUAAGAAAUAUCUAAGUUAUAAACAAUUGCUCUUGACAUUUUAGAAUUCUAUGAAGGAUAUUUUUUCUGUGAAGUCAAGUCAGCAGCACAGUCCAUUAGACUAGUCAUUAAAAAUAAUUUUAAAAAAGGACCAACUGCUCUCUAAUUACUCCUCAGUUGCAGAAAUGCUAUUCUGAGAUACAGAUAGCCGUGAGAUGAAGACCCCUGGAAAGCUCCAUGUCAACACAUUUCUCAAUUAUAACCAAUAAUCAACAAAAAAAACCCCAUACAUAGAAACAUUAGCUUUCAUCAUUUACUAUGAUGCAAAAAUGCUUUGAUUAGAAAAGUUUAAGAUUGGUCAACAUAUAUCUUUGAAACAUUUUCAGGACAAAUAAUAUUUUAGCAUUUAGCACCACGUAGCCAAUGUUUUAAUUAUGUAAAGUGGUAGUGAGACAAAGUUGAAUGCAAUAGAGAAAUGCUUAACCCAACGUGACAUCAAAUUGUCCAAAUACUGUGGAAUAAUGUGUUUCUAAGCUUUCAGAACUACUAGGAAAUAAAUACCAAGCAAAAAAAAAAAAAUCAAAUAAAAAAAACAACCAAUAACCCACAAAUAAACAAAUUCAACCAUAAAGUCUUUUGAAGAAUUAGAUUUAAGCUGAUAAACAUUGUAGGGUCAAUAAAGAGUCCUUAUGUCAAUUUACUUCAUUAUCAGUUCUCACACACAAGGAAUCUAUUUAUGGCUACAGAUGUGGAACUAUAUUAUGACUUGUACCCUCUUGGUCUUCUGAUGAAGUACCUUAGAUAAUGAAUCUGGAUCCUUUCCAUGAAGGAGAUCUAAUACUUGACCAAGGCAUGAGGUGAAGUGCUCAUAUCUACAGCACAGAUGGAAGGAAAGAUGGAAAAAAAUAAUUUAGUAUCAAUAAUUUGGUAUCAAUAUCUAAUAAUGUUCAAGUAAUGAAUACCUGAGUCCAAUUUUCUUUUUACCCCCAAACACUUCAAGCACAGUAAUACUUUUGAUGGUGUAGUUUCAAUGCAAUAUAAGCUAAAUUUUAAAAAUAUUCUCAGAAUUAGAACAAGUAUUUUUACUGCUAGAGAUUUGGAUUGAAGUUCAGCAACUAAGUUUGGCUAGUGGAAUGUGCAGAACCAGUAGACAAGCAUUUCACAUAACAACUCUGUGAUGCCCUGCAGGAAAAUUCUUAUCACUUUGCCAGCACUACUACACUUCAAAAUAUUGAAGGACUAUAAAAAAAAAACAUGAUAGCUAUUCAUCAGAUUGUCUGACCACCAGUACUGACCAAAGAAUUAUUGAACACAAUCAUUAAACAUUUCUUAAGCAGCAAUUAAAGCGCGGGUUUUGAUUCAUGCUUCUGUGUAAAACAGGUAACACAAGAACCCUUUAGCUUCGGAUAGAGCAGAUACUCACCUAGUAACACUCAAGAAGCAACCAUGAAUUUUUAAUGAAGCCAUACCUGCUAAGAUAAUCUGCAACUUUGGGGUUUUUCAGAAGAUCCAUAAGUAGAUCAACAGAGUAUUUUCUUGUUAGAGUACCAUCUCCAUUUACAACAAUAUUGAAUAUUAACUGAAAAGUCUGAUGGAUAUUCCGUGCAUGAAAGAGCUGAAAGGAAAAAUAAAAUUAUGCAUGUGAACAUG